CAGAGACAUUGCCCUUUGGGGUAGAUCUCCCACCCUUUGUUUACAAUACCUUUGUUGCUUUGGCAGGCCCGUCUUUGGACCACCGGCUUUGGCUGGUCUGUGCCUGCCAGAGGACCCUAAAUUCUUUGAUUUUUGUGUUGUCUGAGUUAUAUCAUAAUAAGUUA
This 164-nucleotide unclassified non-coding RNA is filed under the name uncultured Leotiomycetes. RNAcentral's name for it is "sequence contains ITS1". Lineage: Eukaryota; Fungi; Ascomycota; Leotiomycetes. The record is from RNAcentral.